This 279-nucleotide ribosomal RNA is filed under the name uncultured bacterium. RNAcentral's name for it is "partial 16S ribosomal RNA". It matches the Rfam family "Bacterial small subunit ribosomal RNA", at positions 506 to 784 of the family's 1533-position model. The record is from RNAcentral.
UGCCAGCAGCCGCGGUAAUACGGAGGGUGCAAGCGUUAAUCGGAAUUACUGGGCGUAAAGCGCGCGUAGGCGGUGCGCUAAGUCGGAUGUGAAAGCCCCGGGCUCAACCUGGGAAUGGCAUUCGAUACUGGCGCGCUAGAGUGUGAUAGAGGAAAGCGGAACUCCCGGUGUAGCGGUGAAAUGCGUAGAGAUCGGGAAGAACACCGAUGGCGAAGGCAGCUUUCUGGGUCAACACUGACGCUGAGGCGCGAAAGCGUGGGGAGCAAACAGGAUUAGAUA